GAUGAACGCUAGCGGCAGGCCAAAUACAUGCAAGUCGAACGAUAGAAGAGGGCUUGCUCUCUUCGAAAAGGGCGCACGGGUGAGUAACGCGUAUGCAACCUACCUUAAUCAGGGGGAUCGCCCGGAGAAAUUCGGAUUAACACCGCAUAACAUCACAGUACAGCAUUGUACAAUGAUGACAUAUUUAUAGGAAUAAGAUGGGCAUGCGUGACAUUAGCAAGUUGGCGGGGUAACAGCACACCAAGGCGACGAUACAUAGGGGAUCUGAGAGGGUGACCCCCCACACUGGUGCUGAGACACGGACCAGACUCCUACGGGAGGCAGCAGUAAGGAAUAUUGGUCAAUGGAGGCAACUCUGAACCAGCCAUGCCGCGUGCAGGAAGACGGCCCUCUGGGUUGUAAACUGCUUUUAUUCGGGAAUAAACCUCAUUACGUGUAAUGAGCUGAAUGUACCGAAGGAAUAAGGAUCGGCUAACUCCGUGCCAGCCGCCGCAGUAA
Molecule: ribosomal RNA, 498 nt
Filed under: uncultured bacterium
Lineage: Bacteria
Description: partial 16S ribosomal RNA
Rfam family: Bacterial small subunit ribosomal RNA
Source: RNAcentral